AACUAACGCUGGCGGCGUGCCUAACACAUGCAAGUCGUACGAGAAAGUUGGCUUCGGCCGAUGAGUACAGUGGCGCACGGGUGAGUAACGCGUGGAUAAUCUGCCCUUAAGUGUGGAAUAACGUACCGAAAGGUGCGCUAAUACCGCAUAAUGCCUGGCAACAUAAGUUGUCCGGCCAAAAGAAGGCCUCUGCUUGCAAGCUUUCGCUAAAGGAUGAGUCCGCGUACCAUUAGCUAGUUGGUGGGGUAACGGCCUACCAAGGCGACGAUGGUUAGCUGGUCUGAGAGGAUGAUCAGCCACACUGGAACUGAGACCAGGUCCAGACUCCUACGGGAGGCAGCAGUGAGGAAUAUUGCGCAAUGGGGGCAACCCUGACGCAGCAAACGCCGCGUGAGUGAGGAAGGUUUUCGGACUGUAAAAGCUCUGUCGAGCGGGAAGAAGUGUACCAUGGCUAAUAAUCCAUGAUACUUGACGGUACCCUAAAGG
Molecule: ribosomal RNA, 486 nt
Filed under: uncultured bacterium
Lineage: Bacteria
Description: bacterial SSU rRNA
Rfam family: Bacterial small subunit ribosomal RNA
Source: RNAcentral